Molecule: long non-coding RNA, 363 nt
Filed under: Theobroma cacao (cacao)
Lineage: Eukaryota; Viridiplantae; Streptophyta; Magnoliopsida; Malvales; Malvaceae
Description: long non-coding RNA (TCAC_LNC000859)
Source: RNAcentral
AUUCCUGUGCAAUGUGUGGGAGAAGGUGGACUUUAUCUGGUACUAUGAGGAUGUUGUCACCAAGAGGCCUGUUCACUGGGUCUUCUACACCGGUAACUACUACCGACUAGUUUUAUGAUCGAUUUCAUUCUGCAAUUAAAUUAACUGUUUCACCUGUUGUUAAUAAUUUGUUCCUCAUAAUCUAUCCAUCAAAUUGGGUUGAUAAAUGUAACAAAAUUACUCAUACCGUAGGGAGGGAGGCGCAUGUGAUGACAUUUGAAGUAGGAGCAGCUCUUGAGGACGCUAAGUGGCAAGCCCCCGUUUACUGCUUUGACAAGAACGAUUCUCUCACCAGUAUUCCCGUGGAAACAAUGGUGGAUGGAG